CCUACGGGCGGCAGCAGUGGGGAAUAUUGGACAAUGGGCGAAAGCCUGAUCCAGCCAUGCCGCGUGUGUGAAGAAGGCCUUCGGGUUGUAAAGCACUUUCAGUGGGGAAGAAAGCCUUGGGGCUAAUACCCUCGAGGAAGGACAUCACCCACAGAAGAAGCACCGGCUAACUCCGUGCCAGCAGCCGCGGUAAUACGGAGGGUGCGAGCGUUAAUCGGAAUUACUGGGCAUAAAGCGCGCGUAGGCGGUCUGAUAAGCCGGUUGUGAAAGCCCCGGGCUCAACCUGGGAACGGCAUCCGGAACUGUCAGGCUAGAGUGCAGGAGAGGAAGGUAGAAUUCCCGGUGUAGCGGUGAAAUGCGUAGAGAUCGGGAGGAAUACCAGUGGCGAAGGCGGCCUUCUGGACUGACACUGACGCUGAGGUGCGAAAGCGUGGGUAGCAAACAGGAUUAGAUACCCUGGUAGUC
Molecule: ribosomal RNA, 465 nt
Filed under: Vreelandella stevensii
Lineage: Bacteria; Pseudomonadati; Pseudomonadota; Gammaproteobacteria; Oceanospirillales; Halomonadaceae
Description: partial 16S ribosomal RNA
Rfam family: Bacterial small subunit ribosomal RNA
Source: RNAcentral